CCUAGGGGAGGCAGCAGUGGGGAAUAUUGCACAAUGGGCGCAAGCCUGAUGCAGCCAUGCCGCGUGUAUGGAGAAGGCCUUCGGGUUGUAAAGUACUUUCAGCGGGGAGGAAGGGAGUAAAGUUAAUACCUUUGCUCAUUGACGUUACCCGCAGAAGAAGCACCGGCUAACUCCGUGCCAGCAGCCGCGGUAAUGUAU
Molecule: ribosomal RNA, 198 nt
Filed under: bacterium enrichment culture clone dark 2
Lineage: Bacteria
Description: partial 16S ribosomal RNA
Rfam family: Bacterial small subunit ribosomal RNA
Source: RNAcentral